CCUACGGGAGGCAGCAGUGGGGAAUAUUGGACAAUGGGGGCAACCCUGAUCCAGCAAUACCGCGUGUGUGAAGAAGGCCUGCGGGUUGUAAAGCACUUUCAAUUGUGAAGAAAAGUUCAAGGUUAAUACCCUUGGACCUUGACGUUAACUUUAGAAGAAGCACCGGCUAACUCCGUGCCAGCAGCCGCGGUAAU
RNAcentral lists this ribosomal RNA (194 nucleotides) under uncultured bacterium. RNAcentral's name for it is "partial 16S ribosomal RNA". It matches the Rfam family "Bacterial small subunit ribosomal RNA", at positions 338 to 524 of the family's 1533-position model. The record is from RNAcentral.